GGAUGAGAUAGAGCAACGCCGCGUGCAGGAUGAAGGUUUUCGGAUCGUAAACUGCUUUUAUUUGUGACGAUUAUGACAGUAGCAAAUGAAUAAGGGUCGGCUAACUACGUGCCAGCAGCCGCGGUCAUACGUAGGACCCAAGCGUUAUCCGGAAUUACUGGGCGUAAAGAGUUGCGUAGGUGGCAAGUUAAGUGAGCAGUGAAAUCGUGUGGCUCAACCAUACUCACAUUGUUUAAACUGGCUAGCUAGA
Molecule: ribosomal RNA, 250 nt
Filed under: uncultured bacterium
Lineage: Bacteria
Description: partial 16S ribosomal RNA
Rfam family: Bacterial small subunit ribosomal RNA
Source: RNAcentral